RNAcentral lists this ribosomal RNA (490 nucleotides) under uncultured bacterium. Its description in RNAcentral is "partial 16S ribosomal RNA". It matches the Rfam family "Bacterial small subunit ribosomal RNA", at positions 28 to 507 of the family's 1533-position model. The record is from RNAcentral.
GAUGAACGCUAGCGGCAGGCCUAAUACAUGCAAGUCGAACGGGAUCCAGAUCAAAGCUUGCUUUGGUCUGGUGAGAGUGGCGCACGGGUGCGUAACGCGUGAGCAACCUACCCUUGUCAGGGGGAUAGCCCGGCGAAAGUCGGAUUAAUACCGCAUGACAUCAUUGAGAGGCAUCUUUCGAUGAUUAAAGAUUUAUCGGACAAGGAUGGGCUCGCGUGACAUUAGCUAGUUGGUAAGGUAACGGCUUACCAAGGCUGCGAUGUCUAGGGGCUCUGAGAGGAGAAUCCCCCAGACUGGUACUGAGACACGGGCCAGACACAUACGGCAGGCAGCAGUAAGGAGUAUUGAUCAAUGGACGGGAGUCUGAACCAGCCAUGCCGCGUGCAGGAGGACCGCCCUAUGUGUCGUAAACUGCUUUUAUACGGGAACAAACGUCGGUACGUGUACCGGUCUGAGUGUACCGUAAGAAUAAGGAUCGGCUAACUCCGUG